Non-coding RNA from Triticum urartu, 115 nucleotides. The record is from Rfam. Lineage: Eukaryota; Viridiplantae; Streptophyta; Magnoliopsida; Poales; Poaceae.
CAAGUACUCCCUCCGUCAAGAAUUACUUGUCAUCAAAAUGGAUGUGGCUAGAACUAAAAUACAUCUAGAUACAUCCAUUUCAAUGACAAGUAUUUUCGGACGGAGGGAGUACAAG